GGGCGUUAAGUUGCAGGGUAUAGACCCGAAACCCGGUGAUCUAGCCAUGGGCAGGUUGAAGGUUGGGUAACACUAACUGGAGGACCGAACCGACUAAUGUUGAAAAAUUAGCGGAUGACCUGUGGCUGGGGGUGAAAGGCCAAUCAAACCGGGAGAUAGCUGGUUCUCCCCGAAAGCUAUUUAGGUAGCGCCUCGUGAAUUCAUCUCCGGGGGUAGAGCACUGUUUCGGCUAGGGGGCCAUCCCGGCUUACCAACCCGAUGCAAACUGCGAAUACCGGAGAAUGUUAUCACGGGAGACACACGGCGGGUGCUAACGUCCGUCGUGAAGAGGGAAACAACCCAGACCGCCAGCUAAGGUCCCAAAGUCAUGGUUAAGUGGGAAACGAUGUGGGAAGGCCCAGACAGCCAGGAUGUUGGCUUAGAAGCAGCCAUCAUUUAAAGAAAGCGUAAUAGCUCACUGGUCGAGUCGGCCUGCGCGGAAGAUGUAACGGGGCUAAACCAUGCACCGAAGCUGCGGCAGCGAACGUAUCACUUAAAGCGAUUCAGCGGGUUACGAUUGACGGAGCGAAGCGACGUCAAAGCGUAUACAAAGUCGAGUCGGUUUAAGGAUACGUUCGUUGGGUAGGGGAGCGUUCUGUAAGCCUGCGAAGGUGGCCUGUGAGGGUUGCUGGAGGUAUCAGAAGUGCGAAUGCUGACAUAAGUAACGAUAAAGCGGGUGAAAAGCCCGCUCGCCGGAAGACCAAGGGUUCCUGUCCAACGUUAAUCGGGGCAGGGUGAGUCGACCCCUAAGGCGAGGCCGAAAGGCGUAGUCGAUGGGAAACGGGUUAAUAUUCCCGUACUUGGUGUUACUGCGAAGGGGGGACGGAGAAGGCUAUGUUGGCCGGGCGACGGUUGUCCCGGUUUAAGCGUGUAGGUGUGUGUUCCAGGUAAAUCCGGUUCACUUUAACACUGAGGCGUGAUGACGAGGCACUACGGUGCUGAAGCAACAAAUGCCCUGCUUCCAGGAAAAGCCUCUAAGCAUCAGGUAACAUCAAAUCGUACCCCAAACCGACACAGGUGGUCAGGUAGAGAAUACCAAGGCGCUUGAGAGAACUCGGGUGAAGGAACUAGGCAAAAUGGUGCCGUAACUUCGGGAGAAGGCACGCUGACACGUAGGUGAAGUGAUUUACUCAUGGAGCUGAAGUCAGUCGAAGAUACCAGCUGGCUGCAACUGUUUAUUAAAAACACAGCACUGUGCAAACACGAAAGUGGACGUAUACGGUGUGACGCCUGCCCGGUGCCGGAAGGUUAAUUGAUGGGGUCAGCGCAAGCGAAGCUCCUGAUCGAAGCCCCGGUAAACGGCGGCCGUAACUAUAACGGUCCUAAGGUAGCGAAAUUCCUUGUCGGGUAAGUUCCGACCUGCACGAAUGGCGUAAUGAUGGCCAGGCUGUCUCCACCCGAGACUCAGUGAAAUUGAACUCGCUGUGAAGAUGCAGUGUACCCGCGGCAAGACGGAAAGACCCCGUGAACCUUUACUAUAGCUUGACACUGAACAUUGAGCCUUGAUGUGUAGGAUAGGUGGGAGGCUUUGAAGUGUGGACGCCAGUCUGCAUGGAGCCGACCUUGAAAUACCACCCUUUAAUGUUUGAUGUUCUAACGUGGACCCGUAAUCCGGGUUGCGGACAGUGUCUGGUGGGUAGUUUGACUGGGGCGGUCUCCUCCUAAAGAGUAACGGAGGAGCACGAAGGUUGGCUAAUCCUGGUCGG
RNAcentral lists this ribosomal RNA (1745 nucleotides) under Salmonella enterica subsp. enterica serovar Anatum. Its description in RNAcentral is "partial 23S ribosomal RNA". It matches the Rfam family "Bacterial large subunit ribosomal RNA", at positions 690 to 2334 of the family's 2925-position model. The record is from RNAcentral. Lineage: Bacteria; Pseudomonadati; Pseudomonadota; Gammaproteobacteria; Enterobacterales; Enterobacteriaceae.